GCGCCCGUAGCUCAGCUUGGACAGAGCAACGGACUACGAAUCCGUGUGUCGGGGGUUCAAAUCCCUCCGGGCGCGCCA
RNAcentral lists this transfer RNA (78 nucleotides) under Deltaproteobacteria bacterium. Its description in RNAcentral is "tRNA-Arg". It matches the Rfam family "tRNA". Rfam says of the family: Transfer RNA (tRNA) molecules are approximately 80 nucleotides in length. Lineage: Bacteria; Pseudomonadati; Myxococcota; Myxococcia. The record is from RNAcentral.